CCUACGGGUGGCUGCAGUGGGGAAUAUUGCACAAUGGGCGCAAGCCUGAUGCAGCAACGCCGCGUGCGGGAUGACGGCCUUCGGGUUGUAAACCGCUUUCAGCAGGGACGAAGCGCAAGUGACGGUACCUGCAGAAGAAGCACCGGCUAACUACGUGCCAGCAGCCGCGGUGAUACGUAGGGUGCGAGCGUUGUCCGGAUUUAUUGGGCGUAAAGAGCUUGUAGGCGGUUAGUCGCGUCGUAAGUGCAAACUCAGGGCUUAACCCUGAGCCUGCUUUCGAUACGGGCUGACUAGAGGAAGGUAGGGGAGAAUGGAAUUCCCGGUGGAGCGGUGGAAUGCGCAGAUAUCGGGAGGAACACCAGUGGCGAAGGCGGUUCUCUGGACCUUUCCUGACGCUGAGAAGCGAAAGCGUGGGGAGCAAACAGGAUUAGAUACCCGAGUAGUC
Molecule: ribosomal RNA, 445 nt
Filed under: uncultured bacterium
Lineage: Bacteria
Description: partial 16S ribosomal RNA
Rfam family: Bacterial small subunit ribosomal RNA
Source: RNAcentral